UACAGAGGUCCCAAGCGUUGUUCGGAUUCACUGGGCGUAAAGGGCGCGUAGGCGGCUCAUGAAGGCUGUGGUGAAAGUCCGGGGCUCAACCUCGGAUCGGCCGUGGUGACUCGUGGGCUGGAGCACUGUAGAGGCGGGUGGAAUUCCGGGUGUAGCGGUGGAAUGCGUAGAGAUCCGGAAGAACACCAGUGGCGAAGGCGGCCCGCUGGGCAGUGGCUGACGCUGAGGCGCGACAGCGUGGGGAGCAAACAGG
Molecule: ribosomal RNA, 253 nt
Filed under: uncultured bacterium
Lineage: Bacteria
Description: partial 16S ribosomal RNA
Rfam family: Bacterial small subunit ribosomal RNA
Source: RNAcentral